CCGUACUAGAUGGGGUGGUAGCGGUGCCCUGUAACCUGCAAGCCGCUAUAGCAGGAUCGAAGGCCGUGCUGAGGGCUUCUCCUUUGGGGGUCUGGCCCUGAUAAGUGGUGUUGACAAUUGGGUCUCACGCAAUGAAGCUUUGCGAACCCCGUCAGGUCCGGGAGGAAGCAGCGGUAAGCAAAUGUCUUCAUGUGCCGUGAGGGUACCUGGUUCGAGCUAACUGUCAGGGUAACGCCUUGGAGGAGAUGUUCGAAGCCGGUGUACGG
Molecule: signal recognition particle RNA, 266 nt
Filed under: Halonatronomonas betaini
Lineage: Bacteria; Bacillati; Bacillota; Clostridia; Halanaerobiales; Halarsenatibacteraceae
Description: Bacterial large signal recognition particle RNA
Rfam family: Bacterial large signal recognition particle RNA
About the family: The signal recognition particle (SRP) is a universally conserved ribonucleoprotein involved in the co-translational targeting of proteins to membranes. Archaeal SRP consists of a 7S RNA and homologues of the eukaryotic SRP19 and SRP54 proteins.
Source: Rfam by way of RNAcentral